This 45-nucleotide non-coding RNA is filed under the name Schistosoma haematobium. Lineage: Eukaryota; Metazoa; Platyhelminthes; Trematoda; Strigeidida; Schistosomatidae. The record is from RNAcentral.
AUCCAAAUGACGAGUCCCAAAUAGGAUGAAACAUGUAUCUUGGAU